CAGCAGCCGCGGGAAUACGUAGGGUGCGAGCGUUAAUCGGAAUUACUGGGCGUAAAGCGUGCGCAGGCGGUUGUGUAAGACAGGUGUGAAAUCCCCGGGCUUAACCUGGGAACUGCGCUUGUGACUGCACAGCUAGGGGAUGGCAGAGGGGGGUGGAAUUCCACGUGUAGCAGUGAAAUGCGUAGAGAUGUGGAGGAACACCGAUGGCGAAGGCAGCCCCCUGGGCCAAUACUGACGCUCAUGCACGAAAGCGUGGGGAGCAAACAGGAUUAGAUACCCCCGUAGUCCCUGUCUCUUAUAA
This 301-nucleotide ribosomal RNA is filed under the name uncultured bacterium. RNAcentral describes it as "partial 16S ribosomal RNA". It matches the Rfam family "Bacterial small subunit ribosomal RNA", at positions 509 to 809 of the family's 1533-position model. The record is from RNAcentral.